RNAcentral lists this small nuclear RNA (19 nucleotides) under Arabidopsis thaliana (thale cress). RNAcentral describes it as "snRNA_07425". The record is from RNAcentral. Lineage: Eukaryota; Viridiplantae; Streptophyta; Magnoliopsida; Brassicales; Brassicaceae.
GACCUCCCGGGAAGUCCUC